GAUGAACGCUGGCGGCGUGCCUAAUACAUGCAAGUCGAGCGAACAGACGAGGAGCUUGCUCCUCUGACGUUAGCGGCGGACGGGUGAGUAACACGUGGAUAACCUACCUAUAAGACUGGGAUAACUUCGGGAAACCGGAGCUAAUACCGGAUAAUAUAUUGAACCGCAUGGUUCAAUAGUAAAAGACGGUUUUGCUGUAACUUAUAGAUGGAUCCGCGCCGCAUUAGCUAGUUGGUAAGGUAACGGCUUACCAAGGCGACGAUGCGUAGCCGACCUGAGAGGGUGAUCGGCCACACUGGAACUGAGACACGGUCCAGACUCCUACGGGAGGCAGCAGUAGGGAAUCUUCCGCAAUGGGCGAAAGCUUGACGGAGCAACGCCGCGUGAGUGAUGAAGGUCUUCGGAUCGUAAAACUCUGUUAUUAGGGAAGAACAAAUGUGUAAGUAACUAUGCACGUCUUGACGGUACCUAAUCAGAAAGCCACGGCUAACUACGUG
This 497-nucleotide ribosomal RNA is filed under the name uncultured bacterium. RNAcentral's name for it is "partial 16S ribosomal RNA". It matches the Rfam family "Bacterial small subunit ribosomal RNA", at positions 28 to 507 of the family's 1533-position model. The record is from RNAcentral.